CUUCUUCUGGGAAUUCUGAUUUUGUCGGCCCUAGAACCCAAACGCUUGGAAUAUUUUGCUGUGUUGUGUCUGUUGACUCUGAAAAAGUAGGUUCAUGAUGUUUGGUAAUUCAUUCAGUUUUACCAUUAGUAACUCCGUUUGGACCAUCAGAAUACAUAGCCAUUGGAUUAUUUGUUCUGAAAUUUAAAAUUAUAGGUGGUAAAAUACUGG
Non-coding RNA from Caenorhabditis elegans, 210 nucleotides. Lineage: Eukaryota; Metazoa; Nematoda; Chromadorea; Rhabditida; Rhabditidae. The record is from Ensembl.